RNAcentral lists this ribosomal RNA (253 nucleotides) under uncultured bacterium. Its description in RNAcentral is "partial 16S ribosomal RNA". It matches the Rfam family "Bacterial small subunit ribosomal RNA", at positions 524 to 776 of the family's 1533-position model. The record is from RNAcentral.
UACGGGGGGGGCAAGCGGUGUUCGGAAUUACUGGGCGUAAAGGGCUCGUAGGCGGCCAACUAAGUCAGACGUGAAAUCCCUCGGCUUAACCGGGGAACUGCGUCUGAUACUGGAUGGCUUGAGGUUGGGAGAGGGAUGCGGAAUUCCAGGUGUAGCGGUGAAAUGCGUAGAUAUCUGGAGGAACACCGGUGGCGAAGGCGGCAUCCUGGACCAAUUCUGACGCUGAGGAGCGAAAGCCAGGGGAGCAAACGGG